GAUGAACGCUGGCGGCGUGCUUAACACAUGCAAGUCGAACGGGAAACCUUUUAUUGAAGCUUCGGCAGAUUUAGCUGGUUUCUAGUGGCGGACGGGUGAGUAACGCGUGGGUAACCUGCCUUAUACAGGGGGAUAACAACCAGAAAUGGUUGCUAAUACCGCAUAAGCGCACAGGACCGCAUGGUCCGGUGUGAAAAACUCCGGUGGUAUAAGAUGGACCCGCGUUGGAUUAGCUAGUUGGCAGGGUAACGGCCUACCAAGGCGACGAUCCAUAGCCGGCAUGAGAGGGUGAACGGACACAGUGGGACUGAGACACGGCCCAGAAGACUACGGGAGGCAGCAGUGGGGAAUAUUGCACAAUGGGGGAAACCCUGAUGAAGCGACGACGCGUGAAGGAAGAAGUAUCUCGGUAUGUAAACUUCUAUCAGCAGGGAAGAUAGUGACGGUACCUGACUAAGAAGCCCCGGCUAACUACGUG
This 478-nucleotide ribosomal RNA is filed under the name uncultured bacterium. Its description in RNAcentral is "partial 16S ribosomal RNA". It matches the Rfam family "Bacterial small subunit ribosomal RNA", at positions 28 to 507 of the family's 1533-position model. The record is from RNAcentral.